This 434-nucleotide ribosomal RNA is filed under the name uncultured bacterium. Its description in RNAcentral is "partial 16S ribosomal RNA". It matches the Rfam family "Bacterial small subunit ribosomal RNA", at positions 341 to 792 of the family's 1533-position model. The record is from RNAcentral.
CCGGAAGGCAGCAGUGGGGAAUAUUGCACAAUGGGCGAAAGCCUGAUGCAGCGACGCCGCGUGAGCGAAGAAGUAUUUCGGUAUGUAAAGCUCUAUCAGCAGGGAAGAUAAUGACGGUACCUGACUAAGAAGCUCCGGCUAAAUACGUGCCAGCAGCCGCGGUAAUACGUAUGGAGCAAGCGUUAUCCGGAUUUACUGGGUGUAAAGGGUGCGUAGGCGGCAUGGCAAGUCAGUCGUUAAAGCCCAGAGCUUAACUCUGGAUCAGCGAUUGAAACUGUCAAGCUAGAGUACAGGAGAGGUUAGUGGAAUUACUAGUGUAGAGGCGGAAUUCGUAGAUAUUAGUAAGAACACCAAUGGCGAAGGCAGCUAACUGGCCUGAAACUGACGCUGAGGCACGAAAGUGUGGGGAGCAAACAGGAUUAGAUACCCUGGUA